UAAAUACAAUAUUUUUUGAAA
Molecule: non-coding RNA, 21 nt
Filed under: Caenorhabditis elegans
Lineage: Eukaryota; Metazoa; Nematoda; Chromadorea; Rhabditida; Rhabditidae
Source: RNAcentral